GGAUGUGAGGGUGAUCUGGCUGCGACAUCUGUCACCUCAUUAAUCACCAGGGUUGAUUCGGCUGAUCUGGCUGGCUAGGCAUGUGUUCCCUUCCUCCCUCUACACUCCAUGUGCAUCCCUCAUGAAGCUGCGUGCUCAGUCAAAGAGGGCGACCAUGCCCCGCUAGAGGAGGACCAGUCUUCCGUCCAAGGGUGUAUGAGUAGCUAGAACCUCCAAACAAGCNNNNNNN
Molecule: small RNA, 229 nt
Filed under: Ochotona princeps (American pika)
Lineage: Eukaryota; Metazoa; Chordata; Mammalia; Lagomorpha; Ochotonidae
Description: 7SK RNA (ENSOPRG00000021337.1)
Rfam family: 7SK RNA
About the family: 7SK was discovered as an abundant small nuclear RNA in the mid-70s but a possible function has only recently been suggested.
Source: RNAcentral